UACCAGCUCUCCGAGUGGUGUGGAUGUUUAUUGGGCCUAAAGCAUCCGUAGCUGGCUGGACAAGUCCCCUGUUAAAUCCACCGAUUUAAUCGUUGGUGUGCGGGGGAUACUGUUCGGCUAGGGGACGGGAGAGGCAGACUGUAUUUUCGGGGUAGGGGUGAAAUCCUAUAAUCCCGGGAAGACCACCAGUGGCGAAGGCUGUCUGCUAGAACGCGCCCGACGGUGAGGGAUGAAAGCUGGGGGAGCGAACCGGAUUAGAUACCCGGGUAGUCCCAGCUGUAAACGAUGCAGGCUAGGUGUUUGGACGGCCACGUGCCGUUCUAGUGCCGCAGGGAAGCCGUUAAGCCUGCCGCCUGGGGAGUACGGCCGCAAGGCUGAAACUUAAGGAAUUGGCGGGGAGCACCACAAGGGGUGAAGCUUGCGGUUU
Molecule: ribosomal RNA, 427 nt
Filed under: uncultured archaeon
Lineage: Archaea
Description: bacterial SSU rRNA
Rfam family: Archaeal small subunit ribosomal RNA
Source: RNAcentral